This 461-nucleotide ribosomal RNA is filed under the name uncultured eubacterium WJGRT-16. RNAcentral describes it as "bacterial SSU rRNA". It matches the Rfam family "Bacterial small subunit ribosomal RNA", at positions 49 to 505 of the family's 1533-position model. The record is from RNAcentral.
UUACACAUGCAAGUCGAACGGCAGCACGGAGCUUGCUCUGGUGGCGAGUGGCGAACGGGUGAGUAAUAUAUCGGAACGUACCCUGGAGUGGGGGAUAACGCAGCGAAAGUUGCGCUAAUACCGCAUACGAUCUACGGAUGAAAGUGGGGGAUCGCAAGACCUCAUGCUCGUGGAGCGGCCGAUAUCUGAUUAGCUAGUUGGUAGGGUAAAAGCCUACCAAGGCAUCGAUCAGUAGCUGGUCUGAGAGGACGACCAGCCACACUGGGACUGAGACACGGCCCAGACUCCUACGGGAGGCAGCAGUGGGGAAUUUUGGACAAUGGGGGCAACCCUGAUCCAGCAAUGCCGCGUGAGUGAAGAAGGCCUUCGGGUUGUAAAGCUCUUUUGUCAGGGAAGAAACGGUGAUUCUUAAUACGGAUUGCUAAUGACGGUACCUGAAGAAUAAGCACCGGCUAACUACG